This is a small nucleolar RNA of Nannospalax galili (Upper Galilee mountains blind mole rat), 70 nucleotides long. RefSeq annotates it as small nucleolar RNA SNORD104. The transcript has a single exon. The record is from RefSeq and is a predicted model, not a curated record. NCBI's taxonomy places the organism in Eukaryota, Metazoa, Chordata, Mammalia, Rodentia, Spalacidae.
GCAGUGAUGACAUUCCACUGUUUGCAUGCGUUGGAUUGUUGAUGUGGGUGAUGCGAAUCUGAGUCUGAGC